This 874-nucleotide ribosomal RNA is filed under the name Paeniglutamicibacter sulfureus. RNAcentral describes it as "bacterial SSU rRNA". It matches the Rfam family "Bacterial small subunit ribosomal RNA", at positions 434 to 1319 of the family's 1533-position model. The record is from RNAcentral. Lineage: Bacteria; Bacillati; Actinomycetota; Actinomycetes; Micrococcales; Micrococcaceae.
UUCAGUAGGGANNAAGCGAAAGUGACGGUACCUGCAGAAGAAGCGCCGGCUAACUACGUGCCAGCAGCCGCGGUAAUACGUAGGGCGCAAGCGUUAUCCGGAAUUAUUGGGCGUAAAGAGCUCGUAGGCGGUUUGUCGCGUCUAUCGUGAAAGUCCGAGGCUCAACCUCGGAUCUGCGGUGGGUACGGGCAGACUAGAGUGAUGUAGGGGAGACUGGAAUUCCUGGUGUAGCGGUGAAAUGCGCAGAUAUCAGGAGGAACACCGAUGGCGAAGGCAGGUCUCUGGGCAUUAACUGACGCUGAGGAGCGAAAGCAUGGGGAGCGAACAGGAUUAGAUACCCUGGUAGUCCAUGCCGUAAACGUUGGGCACUAGGUGUGGGGGACAUUCCACGUUUUCCGCGCCGUAGCUAACGCAUUAAGUGCCCCGCCUGGGGAGUACGGCCGCAAGGCUAAAACUCAAAGGAAUUGACGGGGGCCCGCACAAGCGGCGGAGCAUGCGGAUUAAUUCGAUGCAACGCGAAGAACCUUACCAAGGCUUGACAUGUGCCAGAUCGCCGUGGAAACACGGUUUCCCCUUUGGGGCUGGUUCACAGGUGGUGCAUGGUUGUCGUCAGCUCGUGUCGUGAGAUGUUGGGUUAAGUCCCGCAACGAGCGCAACCCUCGUUCCAUGUUGCCAGCGCGUAAAGGCGGGGACUCAUGGGAGACUGCCGGGGUCAACUCGGAGGAAGGUGGGGACGACGUCAAAUCAUCAUGCCCCUUAUGUCUUGGGCUUCACGCAUGCUACAAUGGCCGGUACAAUGGGUUGCGAUACUGUGAGGUGGAGCUAAUCCCAAAAAGCCGGUCUCAGUUCGGAUUGGGGUCUGCAACUCGACCCC